This 245-nucleotide long non-coding RNA is filed under the name Ananas comosus (pineapple). RNAcentral's name for it is "long non-coding RNA (ACOM_LNC017548)". Lineage: Eukaryota; Viridiplantae; Streptophyta; Magnoliopsida; Poales; Bromeliaceae. The record is from RNAcentral.
UAAAGCAGUUCGGUUCAGCUCUUUGAAUCGGAUAAGUUAAAAAAAAUCUCUUUAUAUAAUAUUCUGGAUUCUGGUAAAUUAAUAAAAUUAUAAUUUGAGUUUGAGUUUUUUUUGGAGUAUUUGGAUAAAUUAGAUCAAUUGUAAUGUAAAAAAGGAUGCGAAAACAGAAUUCGGAAAAGAACUACUUUCCAGAUGCCCGGAUAGGGUUUAGGGCGCCCAGAAACUCUGUAACUGAGGGGUGGAAU